Long non-coding RNA from Pygocentrus nattereri (red-bellied piranha), 603 nucleotides. RefSeq lists it as uncharacterized. Lineage: Eukaryota; Metazoa; Chordata; Actinopteri; Characiformes; Serrasalmidae. The record is from RefSeq and is a predicted model, not a curated record. The transcript has 2 exons.
UGCACACUCAUUAAAAGCAGUUCUACAGCACAAGUAUCACCCGAUGAAACACUUAGAUGUGCAUAAUUUGUCUUCAAUUUUCAUACUGAAAAGGAGAGAAACGACGUUCUACAGCAGAGCAGCAGUUUUCUAAGGAACACAAUGACAAACUACAUUUCCCACAAUCCUCCACGAUGCGUGCACAUGCGCUCUAGGAAUUCAUGAGACGCAACACGCAAUGUUUUGGCGAAAAUAUUUUCUUGGCAUUUCAUUUCGAAAUCUCAGAUAAUCUCAGCAGAUUCACGACACGUAAUGAUCUUUAAUGCGUUUAUUUAUUUAAGGGCUCGACGCCCAAGGAACCGACUGAACACGGACUUAGAAAAUCGCUGUGUACAUGACUCACCUGCUGCUAGCCAUGUUACAGUUCUCUCAUGUGUGCGACUGUCAGAAAGCCCGGACCUGCAAUUCCGAUUACUCUGUUUCCGCUCUCUGUGCGCGUGAUUACGUCACACGUUGUUGACAGUGGACAGAAAAACCUAAACAGAUGCACUAAAAUGACUUCUGAGAUCAGCCUCUGUGGCGCUUUACACAGUGUUAAACAAUAAACACGAGGGUUUUCACGCA